UACGGAGGGGGCUAGCGUUGUUCGGAAUUACUGGGCGUAAAGCGCACGUAGGCGGCUUUGUAAGUUAGAGGUGAAAGCCCAGGGCUUAACCCUGGAAUUGCCUUUAAGACUGCAUCGCUAGAAUUGUGGAGAGGUAAGUGGAAUUCCGAGUGUAGAGGUGAAAUUCGUAGAUAUUCGGAAGAACACCAGUGGCGAAGGCGACUUACUGGACACAUAUUGACGCUGAGGUGCGAAAGCGUGGGGGAGCAAACAGG
This 254-nucleotide ribosomal RNA is filed under the name uncultured bacterium. RNAcentral describes it as "partial 16S ribosomal RNA". It matches the Rfam family "Bacterial small subunit ribosomal RNA", at positions 524 to 776 of the family's 1533-position model. The record is from RNAcentral.